GAUGAACGCUGGCGGCGUGCCUAAUACAUGCAAGUCGAGCGAACAGACGAGGAGCUUGCUCCUUUGACGUUAGCGGCGGACGGGUGAGUAACACGUAGGUAACCUACCUAUAAGACUGGGAUAACUUCGGGAAACCGGAGCUAAUACCGGAUAAUAUUUCGAACCGCAUGGUUCGAUAGUGAAAGAUGGCUUUGCUAUCACUUCUAGAUGUACCUGCGCCGUAUUAGCUAGUUGGUAAGGUAACGGCUUACCAAGGCAACGAUACGUAGCCGACCUGAGAGGGGGAUCGGCCACACUGGAACUGAGACACGGUCCAGACUCCUACGGGAGGCAGCAGUAGGGAAUCUUCCGCAAUGGGCGAAAGCCUGACGGAGCAACGCCGCGUGAGUGAUGAAGGUCUUCGGAUCGUAAAACUCUGUUAUUAGGGAAGAACAAACGUGUAAGUAACUGUGCACGUCUUGACGGUACCUAAUCAGAAAGCCACGGCUAACUACGUG
This 497-nucleotide ribosomal RNA is filed under the name uncultured bacterium. Its description in RNAcentral is "partial 16S ribosomal RNA". It matches the Rfam family "Bacterial small subunit ribosomal RNA", at positions 28 to 507 of the family's 1533-position model. The record is from RNAcentral.